GUUAAACUAAACCCUAAAUAUAUCCAGUCUUCCUACUCGGUUUCUCAGACUGAAAUACUUGUAUUCUAUCUUCAUCGCGGCACGUUUUUUUGGAUUUGAACAGGUUAUCUCUGUCAUGAUGGCCGGUCAAUACGACGAACUUUCUAUCUCUAGCACCUUCAUUAUUGUUUCUCUCUCUGGCAUCAUCGAUUUCAGCUGCAUUUUUCUGGGGUAUAAUGACAACGACACUAAAAUGUAUUUCAGGGAGAGUACUACAACAAAUUUUGAUGCAAAGGGCAGAUGGUAAAAGGAAUUCACCUACUAAUAAAGAUUAAGGAGGAAAUGAGGAAUAAUGCAGAAGCUCAAGCGAUUUAAGAAGUUAAUACGUUAGCAUGUACUGAUUUAUAGCCUCAAACUGCUUGUAUUUAAAGGUGCGGAGUUCAGUUUUAUAAACAUUAUGAUCAUUAUGUUGUUUUCUUUGCUUUCUAUUAUUGUAUGAUGAAGAGUAGGAGAAUGAGAGCCAGAGAGAGAAAGAGAGGAUUUGGGAUAAACAGACCGCUAAUUUCCAUAUUGGUUUCUGGAAUUGGUGAAUCGGGAGAUGCUGAUGAGGUUCAACUCGUGGUGGUGUUGUCUUACAAGUUUACUGGUCUGGAGUGGAAUAGCGGGUUCCUUCAAUAUUGGAC
RNAcentral lists this long non-coding RNA (662 nucleotides) under Helianthus annuus (common sunflower). Lineage: Eukaryota; Viridiplantae; Streptophyta; Magnoliopsida; Asterales; Asteraceae. The record is from RNAcentral.